UAUUAUGUUCUCAAUAUUUAACUUCCAAAUUCGUCGAGUUCCGAGUAAGACAAAUGCAACACAAUUAAGAACUCAACGAAACUUGCUCAAAUAGUGACAAAUUAUUCAUUUAAUUUAGCCACCUAGACUCAAACUUUAAAUUCAUCUCCACAUUUCACACAAAUUAUAGUAGUUUAGCAAAACUCUCAAAAGAAAACAAAAAUAGCUAUCAAUCAAUCAAUCGUGGAGAUGAAUCAGAUGAACCAAAACAAUUCCAUACAAAUCUCAUCCAAACUAAUACGAGCUUUAUAUUAUUCAACCAAAGUGCAAUACCUGAUUACAGCAGCACAAAGACAAACAGAGAAUAAGCCUCUCCAAAAAUGAAUCUGAGCUCAGCUGAUAUGCAGCUCCAGAAUCGGAUGGAGACGUGACCAAGACCAACGGAGCUUCGACUCCGGAGCUUGCCGGAAGUCGAUGAAACACAGGCAGACCUCGACUCUUCAGCCUUGAAACUCGCCGGAAGGUAAAAAGAGAUGCGUGACUCUGUGUGUGUGUGUGCAGUAUGUUAGGCGUGAGGCUGCUGGGAACUCGAUGGCUAUGGUGUUAGGGGGUCGUUUGGCUGUGCGGCGUGAAGGUCCGGGAUGGGGUGGUCUGUGUAUGUCCAACAGCUGCUUGGUGUUUGGGGUCUAUUGAGGCUGAUGCUUAUGUGAAUUUCGUUCAAGAGCUCAUGGGGUCGUUUAUGGCUGUGGAAGAAACAAAAAUGAUAAAGGGGGGGAAAGGGUCGAAGAAGAAGAGAUAUCAGGGGGUGGGGUCUUCUUGUGUUAUCAGGAGUCCUUUUCUUUGUCCAAUCUCGGCUUUUUAGCUGAUUCUUGGGGAUUUUGGUUUUGUUCCUUUUCUUAUGGAAAACGACCCCUUCCAAAUAUGUGUGUCUCGGUCUUUAUUUUUUGUAUAGAAACGGCUGAUUGUGUGUGUAGAGUCUAGGGUGUUAGCGUUAUUUUAUAGUUUAGGUCUAGGUUUAUUAUUUGGAUUUAAGAGUAUUGAGGUUCAAGGAAUAAGCGAGAAAUUUGGGCUUUUAUGAUUAGUUUUGCUUAAAAUUAGCUUAAUUAAAAUCUAUCCAUAUAGAAAUAUUACCAAAAAUACUAGUUAGCC
Molecule: long non-coding RNA, 1128 nt
Filed under: Nicotiana benthamiana
Lineage: Eukaryota; Viridiplantae; Streptophyta; Magnoliopsida; Solanales; Solanaceae
Description: long non-coding RNA (NBEN_LNC024895)
Source: RNAcentral